UUCUUCAACAAAAUUGUCCUGUGGUUCUCAAUUCCCUCCUAUUUCACUGCUCAUCUUUUCUGUAAUAAAACAUUGUCUUAUUGCAAUAUCACACUGCUCUCCAGAGUGCAAGGAUUGAUUGACAACAUUUCUAAUGCAAGUCAAGACCUGCCACCAGACCCAGAACUUUUCACAUUGUUGGCAUAAUAACAAGGCCUGAGGCUUCCUGACACAUGUUUGCACUGUGCUCCAUUUUGAACCAAACAAAAUCAUCAUCCCUUUGCUCUUUACUCUGUUUGUCCACACUGGUGUAAUUUGAUUUGGAACAUGCAGGACUGAGAAACAUCUACCACAACAGGAAGAGAACUGCCUCACUUUAAUUGUUUGCACCGUGGAAGUUAAAAGACCCUGCCCUUCUCAAACUUGCCUUAAACGUGCCAGUGUAGUUAUUGAAUGCUGAAAAAUAGCUUGGUACAUAAUAACAAAGCAAACUAAUUUCAGAACUAAGCACAGCAGUGGAUAUAACCUAUUAUCAUAACUCUGUUUAAAUGGAAAGAUCCUGUGUCCCACGAUGUAUUUACACAAAAUGGAUAAGUACAUUGAAGAUGUCUUCCCAGAGCAUUUUCUCAGGACUCAGCUUCAUCUCGGGGCUUAUCUGCUACAAAACCCCGACCGCCCGCUGUGGAAAAUUCCCUGAACCCAAAUGUGACAGACAGCCUUAAGAGACAGAAGCGUGGUGAGAGAAGUAGGGGCUGGUUGUGAAAAAAAAGCAAGCCUACUGUGUGUGACACAUGACAUUCAAAGAUAGAGAAUAGGAGAAGAAAAAUGGAAAAUGCCACAGACAGGAUAAAGAAAAGACAUAGGAAGAAUGGAAACUACUGAUUGCUGGUUUUGUCUCUACUGUUCCAUAUUCUACUUUGUUUCUCGUAAGACCAAGAAAAGACCUUU
Sander lucioperca (pikeperch) is the source of this 927-nucleotide long non-coding RNA. RefSeq lists it as uncharacterized. NCBI's taxonomy places the organism in Eukaryota, Metazoa, Chordata, Actinopteri, Perciformes, Percidae. The transcript has 2 exons. The record is from RefSeq and is a predicted model, not a curated record.